Molecule: non-coding RNA, 506 nt
Organism: Pelobates cultripes (western spadefoot toad)
Lineage: Eukaryota; Metazoa; Chordata; Amphibia; Anura; Pelobatidae
Source: the annotation of a GenBank genome assembly
CCUGCAUGACAACCCAGGCAGACAGUCCAGAGAAUUUAAUUGGCAAGCCAUCUAUUUAACCCCGUAACUUUCCAAAACACCAUAAAACCUUUACAUGGAGGUUAUUGUUAUACUUGAGACUUUAUUGAACACAGAUAUGAGUGUUUUAAAAAGUAAAACUUGUCACGAUGAUUUUAUCACCAGUAAAAAAAACAAAUAAAAAUGCUAACUUUGGCCAGCAUACGUGACUAAGUGGCUACAGCAAAAGAAUGGACAUACCCUAUUUUGAAUACCCUGGGUUGUCUACAUUUGAAAAUGGUAUGCCAUGAUGGAGUUAAUUCACAUUCCUGGUCUCAAAAGGAAACAUAGACCCAGCAAACCAAUCUGGCAAACUGAAAUGGGCAAGCCCUAUAUUGACCCUGUAACUUUUCAAAACAUCAUAAAAUCUGUUCAAGGGGGGUAUUGUUAUAGACUUAACUGAACACAAGUAUGUUUUACUGUUUUGAAAAACUCACGCGAUGAUAUGG